CAGCUGCAAUAAAUCAUAUCAGUUUGUAAAAGUUACACUCUACCAGCAUCGUUGGGACACAUGUCAGCAAUCAUGUAAGAAGCAAUAGAAAAACAAAUUGGGAAUUUUUUUGUAUAAUCCCCUCACCCUAUGAAUUUACGACAGAUACUUAAAUAUCAAUAUCUCAAAAAGAGAAAACGUUUAAUGAAUAUUUCUACAAUAGAACUGGUCAAACUCUCCAAGGUAAGAACAUCUUGAAUCACCUGAUGAGAACUCUAGUACCUGCAAACAAAUCAAUAUGAAACUGAAAGAGUGUUGCAAGUGAAAUUGUGAAGUUAUGUCCAUCACCACAGCUUGAUCACUAAAUAAGAAAAUCAUUCAUUAUUUUUCAAACUGCAAAUGAGAAGGAAGUAAGAGAUAAAGAUGCUAACUGAUCAUGCUAUGCUAGCUUUAGAUUAUUGACUUCACCAUUGACCCGCUACUUAAGUUUAAAAUUAUGGAUUCGGAUUGAUUCCAAUGUGAAUACUACAAUUUUAAAAAACAGCCACGUUGUAGAAGUUAUUUCAUGCUGAUGUUCAACAAAUCAACAUGGAGGACAUCAUAAAACUACAGAUGACUCAAAUUGUGAACUGAAUUCAUAAUCAAAUUAAAUAAAUAUAAUUCGUGGGAAUGUUUGUAGCAAUAAAACAUAUGUCAGAAUGCAUCUAGCAUUACCUUCAGAAAAAUUAUAGCUUUCAUCUAAAAAGUCAAUAUAUAAUUCAAUUUUCAUGUACUUGUUUCAUUAAUGAAGAUCAAGAUACCCAACAAGAUAUUUUGUGAUAAUCGAAUAAAAAUUUAGCAUCUACAAACAUGAACAAAAUUAACAAAAUACUUAAACCACAUCUCAAUUCUCUCACCUUGCUAGGCUUUAUCCAGAAACCAACUUUAAAAUAAUGCAGAUGGAGUUGAGAAUUAUAAGAGGAACUCUUAGGUACUGAAUCGCAUAUAUGAGACCUAAAACCUGGCCCUUGAAAGUUUUUGUCCUGUUGCCGGAAAAAUCUGAUAAGCCCCAUCCUCUAGGUGCAAGAAAGCGGUCAUCAUUUAGUAUUGCCAGUGAAUUUGCAAGCAGCAGGAACCCCUCAACUAAUGUCCACAAACCCAUUUCCCUGCAUUGCGAGGAAACCCAACCCAAGUCAAAUAAGUUCAAGUCAUUUUCCCUUUCUCUUUCAUAUACAGUUCAACUAUUAACAUUAGUAGAGAACAACAGAUGACUAUGACAAGUCAUAAGAAGCUUCCUCAUGAAAGGCUGGUGUUGAUCACCGCUGAAGCCCCUCCUCAUAAAUCAUCUCAGUAUAGGGGUCACAAUAAGUUCUUAAAAGCAAGGCAGGCUUAAUUUGAAUUCAUCAAACCAAAUACAGUUCUUUGAUAUUCUUUAAAUUAAAACAUUACUAAUGAAUUAUUGCAUAUACGAAGAGUAUUUGAUGCUUUACAGAUCACAUAAAACUAUGCACUGGCUACUCAGAAUGAAGAUCAAGUUCAUUUAAGAGCAUCUACUGCUAUAUGCACAAAUAAAAUCAUGGGAAUUGUAAAAUUAGGUUCCCAAGAAGAUCUGUGUGCAGUUUCCUUUCUCAGGGCUAAACAUUAUAUAAAGAUAAUAGAAAACAAACCACAUGGAGUUAGAGAACAAGGAUAGAGAUGUGACUAAAUGAAUGGAGACAAUCUAGAAAUCAACUUAAGUUCAAAAUUAAAACAAUAAAAUUGUUAGAGGAAAAUAAAAUCCUCUAAUUUGUUUUAGAAAACUCUCAUUGACAAGCGCUUAGUUAAACUAUUCACUCCAGCUGCAAUAAAUCAUAUCAGUUUGUAAAAGUUACACUCUACCAGCAUCGUUGGGACACAUGUCAGCAAUCAUGUAAGAAGCAAUAGAAAAACAAAUUGGGAAUUUUUUUGUAUAAUCCCCUCACCCUAUGAAUUUACGACAGAUACUUAAAUAUCAAUAUCUCAAAAAGAGAAAACGUUUAAUGAAUAUUUCUACAAUAGAACUGGUCAAACUCUCCAAGGUAAGAACAUCUUGAAUCACCUGAUGAGAACUCUAGUACCUGCAAACAAAUCAAUAUGAAACUGAAAGAGUGUUGCAAGUGAAAUUGUGAAGUUAUGUCCAUCACCACAGCUUGAUCACUAAAUAAGAAAAUCAUUCAUUAUUUUUCAAACUGCAAAUGAGAAGGAAGUAAGAG
Molecule: long non-coding RNA, 2189 nt
Filed under: Lupinus angustifolius (narrow-leaved blue lupine)
Lineage: Eukaryota; Viridiplantae; Streptophyta; Magnoliopsida; Fabales; Fabaceae
Description: long non-coding RNA (LANG_LNC000368)
Source: RNAcentral